Molecule: ribosomal RNA, 496 nt
Filed under: uncultured bacterium
Lineage: Bacteria
Description: bacterial SSU rRNA
Rfam family: Bacterial small subunit ribosomal RNA
Source: RNAcentral
GAUGAACGCUAGCGAUAGGCUUAACACAUGCAAGUCGAGGGGCAGCACAGGUAGCAAUACCGGGUGGCGACCGGCGCACGGGUGAGUAACACGUAUGCGACCUGCCCAUAACUGUGGGAUACCCCGUCGAAAGGCGGUCUAAUACCGCAUGAGGAUAGUGUGCUGCAUGGCAUAUUAUUCAAAGAUUAAUUGGUUAUGGAUGGGCAUGCGUUCCAUUAGGCAGUUGGUGAGGUAACGGCUCACCAAACCGACGAUGGAUAGGGGUUCUGAGAGGAAGGUCCCCCACACUGGUACUGAGACACGGACCAGACUCCUACGGGAGGCAGCAGUGAGGAAUAUUGGUCAAUGGGCGAGAGCCUGAACCAGCCAAAUCGCGUGAAGGAUGAAGGUAUUAUGUAUCGUAAACUUCUUUUAUCGGGGAAUAAAGUGCGGGACGUGUCCCGUUUUGUAUGUACCCGAGGAAUAAGGAUCGGCUAACUCCGUGCCAGCAGCCGAC